Molecule: ribosomal RNA, 440 nt
Filed under: uncultured bacterium
Lineage: Bacteria
Description: partial 16S ribosomal RNA
Rfam family: Bacterial small subunit ribosomal RNA
Source: RNAcentral
CUACGGGAGGCUCCAGUGAGGAAUAUUGCACAAUGGGGGGAACCCUGAUGCAGCAACGCCGCGUGGAGGAUGACGCAUUUCGGUGUGUAAACUCCUUUUAUAUGUCAAGAAAAUGACGGUAGCAUAUGAAUAAGCACCGGCUAACUCCGUGCCAGCAGCCGCGGUAAUACGGAGGGGUGCAAGCGUUACUCGGAAUCACUGGGCGUAAAGGACGCGUAGGCGGGUUGGAAAGUCAGGUGUGAAAUCCUACAGCUUAACUGUAGAACUGCACUUGAAACUUCUAAUCUAGAGUAUGGGAGGGGGAGAUGGAAUUAGUGGUGUAGGGGUAAAAUCCGUAGAUAUCACUAGGAAUACCUAAAGCGAAGGCGAUCUCCUGGAACAUUACUGACGCUAAGGCGUGAAAGCGUGGGGAGCAAACAGGAUUAGAUACCCUCGUAGUC